RNAcentral lists this ribosomal RNA (661 nucleotides) under Desulfobulbaceae bacterium PR6_E10. RNAcentral describes it as "bacterial SSU rRNA". It matches the Rfam family "Bacterial small subunit ribosomal RNA", at positions 104 to 755 of the family's 1533-position model. The record is from RNAcentral. Lineage: Bacteria; Pseudomonadati; Thermodesulfobacteriota; Desulfobulbia; Desulfobulbales; Desulfobulbaceae.
GGGUGAGUAACGCGUAAGUAAUCUACCCUGAUAUCCGGGAUAACCCACCGAAAGGUGUGCUAAUACGGGAUACGCUGAUUUAUCAGGAAAGGUGGCCUCUUCAUGAAAGCUACUGUAUCGGGAGGAGCUUGCGUACCAUUAGCUAGUUGGUGGGGUAAUGGCCUACCAAGGCGACGAUGGUUAGCGGGUCUGAGAGGAUGAUCCGCCACACUGGAACUGAAACACGGACCAGACUCCUACGGGAGGCAGCAGUGAGGAAUAUUGCGCAAUGGGGGAAACCCUGACGCAGCGACGCCGCGUGGAUGAUGAAGGCUUUCGGGUCGUAAAAUCCUGUCAGAUGGGAAGAAAUGUCAUAUGUCUAAUAUAUGUAUGAUUUGACGGUACCAUCAAAGGAAGCACCGGCUAACUCCGUGCCAGCAGCCGCGGUAAUACGGAGGGUGCAAGCGUUGUUCGGAAUUACUGGGCGUAAAGCGCGCGUAGGCGGCUUUUUAAGUCAGAUGUGAAAGUCCACGGCUCAACCGUGGAAGUGCAUUUGAUACUGGAAGGCUUGAGUACUGGAGGGGAUGGUGGAAUUCCCGGUGUAGAGGUGAAAUUCGUAGAUAUCGGGAGGAAUACCGGUGGCGAAGGCGACCAUCUGGCCAGAUACUGACGCUGAGGUGCG